RNAcentral lists this long non-coding RNA (578 nucleotides) under Gossypium raimondii (Peruvian cotton). RNAcentral's name for it is "long non-coding RNA (GRAI_LNC007252)". The record is from RNAcentral. Lineage: Eukaryota; Viridiplantae; Streptophyta; Magnoliopsida; Malvales; Malvaceae.
GUGGUAGCCUAGCUACACUUAUCUGAUCAGGGACAAGUGAUAAGUGAUCAUACGUAAGACCAUAGUUAUACUAUGGCAAAGUGGAAGUGAAGUACUCAAUUUUCCGUAACCGUUCCCUAAUUUGAUUAAGGAUGGUAAGUGACAAAUUGACCCAAAAGAAUUAUAGUAAAUGGAUAAGUGGUAGUGAGUUUAUACAAGGGGACCCACCAAUGAUUGUGGUUGACAGGUGAACUUAGUAAAUGUGUUAAUGAAUGGUAUAAUCGAUAAACGUUGAAUUAAAUGGUAAAUACGUAUUAGUGUUGAACUUAAUGACAUUGAAUUGUACGUGAAUUAAAUGGAAAGUGCUAAUGAUAUGAUUUAAAUUGUGAGCAUGAGAAAUUGCGAAUUGAAUGAAAUGGAAAUGAAACAUUGAGUUGCAUGAGUAUGUAUCGGGUCUCGUAGGACCUAAUUAUUAUGAUUAGAAUAUUUUGAGGAUAUAUUGUGAAAAGUUAUAGAAGCAUGUUAAUAAUUUUGAAAGUUUUAAUUUAGAUGAAAUUUUAUAACUCAGUUAAAUACGUUAACAAGUGUAUGUGUUCUGG